This 495-nucleotide ribosomal RNA is filed under the name uncultured bacterium. RNAcentral's name for it is "partial 16S ribosomal RNA". It matches the Rfam family "Bacterial small subunit ribosomal RNA", at positions 28 to 507 of the family's 1533-position model. The record is from RNAcentral.
GACGAACGCUGGCGGCGUGCCUAAUACAUGCAAGUAGAACGCUGAAGGAGGAGCUUGCUUCUCCGGAUGAGUUGCGAACGGGUGAGUAACGCGUAGGUAACCUGCCUGGUAGCGGGGGAUAACUAUUGGAAACGAUAGCUAAUACCGCAUAACAGUAGAUGUUGCAUGACAUUUGCUUAAAAGGUGCAAUUGCAUUACUACCAGAUGGACCUGCGUUGUAUUAGCUAGUUGGUGAGGUAACGGCUCACCAAGGCGACGAUACAUAGCCGACCUGAGAGGGUGAUCGGCCACACUGGGACUGAGAAAAGGCCCAGACUCCUACGGGAGGCAGCAGGAGGGAAUCUUCGGGAAUGGACGGAAGUCUGACCGAGCAACGCCGCGUGAGGGAAGAAGGGUGUCGGAUCGUAAAGAUCGGUUGUAAGAGAAGAACGAGUGUGAGAGUGGAAAGUUCACACUGUGACGGUAUCUUACCAGAAAGGGACGGCUAACUACGUG